RNAcentral lists this ribosomal RNA (445 nucleotides) under uncultured bacterium. RNAcentral's name for it is "partial 16S ribosomal RNA". It matches the Rfam family "Bacterial small subunit ribosomal RNA", at positions 354 to 796 of the family's 1533-position model. The record is from RNAcentral.
GUGAGGAAUAUUGCGCAAUGGAGGCAACUCUGACGCAGCCAUGCCGCGUGCAGGAAGAAGGCGCUACGCGUUGUAAACUGCUUUUAACCGGGAAGAAACCCCAGGACGUGUCCUGGGUUGACGGUACCGGAGGAAUAAGCACCGGCUAACUUCGUGCCAGCAGCCACGGUAAUACGAAGGGUGCAAGCGUUAUCCGGAUUCAUUGGGUUUAAAGGGUGCGUAGGCGGAGCGUUAAGUCAGUGGUGAAAUCCUGCAGCUUAACUGUAGACUUGCCAUUGAUACUGGCGCUCUUGAGUGCGCUUGAAGUGGGCGGAAUGUGCCGUGUAGCGGUGAAAUGCUUAGAUAUGGCACAGAACACCAAUUGCGAAGGCAGCUCACUAAGGCGAUACUGACGCUGAGGCACGAAAGCGUGGGGAUCGAACAGGAUUAGAUACCCGGGUAGUCC